Molecule: ribosomal RNA, 305 nt
Filed under: uncultured bacterium
Lineage: Bacteria
Description: bacterial SSU rRNA
Rfam family: Bacterial small subunit ribosomal RNA
Source: RNAcentral
UGAUGCCUACGGGACGCAGCAGUGGGGAAUAUUGCACAAUGGGGGGAACCCUGAUGCAGCGACGCCGCGUGGGUGAGGAAGUACUUCGGUAUGUAAAGCCCUAUCAGCAGGGAAGAAAAUGACGGUACCUGACUAAGAAGCCCCGGCUAACUACGUGCCAGCAGCCGCGGUAAUACGUAGGGGGCAAGCGUUAUCCGGAUUUACUGGGUGUAAAGGGAGCGUAGACGGAGGAGCAAGUCUGAUGUGAAAAUCCGGGGCCCAACCCCGGAACUGCAUUGGAAACUGUUUAUCUAGAGUGUCGGAGG